Molecule: long non-coding RNA, 532 nt
Organism: Polypterus senegalus (gray bichir)
Lineage: Eukaryota; Metazoa; Chordata; Cladistia; Polypteriformes; Polypteridae
Exons: 3
Source: RefSeq, a predicted model, not a curated record
GACCGCUCUCCACGUGGCUGCCGCUGAAGGUCAUGGGGAAGUCGUCCGCUUUUUGCUUGAAGCCUGCAAAGUGAACCCCGUCCCUAAGGAUAGGUGGGGCAACACGCCGCUCGACGAGGCCAUCCACUUUGGACACCACGAUGUCGUCCAGAUCCUCCAAGACCACCACAACAAGUACGUCCCCCACGAGAGCCCGAGCAGCGAGACGGCCGAGAAGAACCUGGAUGGCUUGCUCUGAGGGGCGGAGCCUCCUCUCCAGCUUUGCUUCCUAUUGGUUGUCGUAGCGCUCGUGUUGGUCCCGUGACAUGGCGUAGUAUUCAUCUGUGUGUCUGUGUGUGGGCACCCGCCCCACGCCAGCCCCCCGCUCGGCCUGGCGCCCCCUGCUGGCUGGCUGGCUGGCUGGCGGCGACUCCUCUGAAUGUAACUCUUGGUGUUUGGGUAUUUAUUGAGACGCGUCGUGUGGCGCGUGGCAGGCAAUCAGAAUAUUUAUUUUGAUGAUACAUGUUGAAUAAAAGCACUGCUUCAAGGCACA